UGCGCAGGCGGCCGUGUGUGUCAGGUGUGAAAUCCCGGGGCUUAACCCCGGAACUGCGCCUGAAACUACAUGGCUAGAGUAUUGGAGAGGGUAGCGGAAUUCACGGUGUAGCAGUGAAAUGCGUAGAUAUCGUGAGGAACACCAGAGGCGAAGGCGGCUACCUGGACAAUUACUGACGCUCAGGCACGAAAGCGUGGGGAGCAAAAGGGAUUAGAUACCCCUGUAGUCCACGCCCUAAACGGUGCACACUAGGUCUUGGCGGAUUUGACCCCACCAGGGCCCAAGCUAACGCGUUAAGUGUGCCGCCUGAGGACUACGGCCGCAAGGCUAAA
Molecule: ribosomal RNA, 332 nt
Filed under: uncultured bacterium
Lineage: Bacteria
Description: bacterial SSU rRNA
Rfam family: Bacterial small subunit ribosomal RNA
Source: RNAcentral